UGUCCAGGAACCCAAUGAGCC
RNAcentral lists this microRNA (21 nucleotides) under Picea abies (Norway spruce). Its description in RNAcentral is "pab-miR949c". Its record names the gene pab-miR949c. Lineage: Eukaryota; Viridiplantae; Streptophyta; Pinopsida; Pinales; Pinaceae. The record is from miRBase by way of RNAcentral.